GGGGAUGAUCGGUUUCGACAUUGCCUGCGUGAGUGUGAGAAGCGGGUCGAGGAUGCAGGGUUAUCUCGUAAACGAUCUCUGCAAACAAUAAGUGCGAAAUCUAACCGCGCUGACUUCGCUCUCGCUGCCUAAGCAAGAGCACUAAUGAAGUCCGUCAGUCUGGGGAUGCUCUCUAACCGGAUCCUGGCGUAAUUUAGGGAGAUUGCUGCGGUGUUACGUCUCAGGGCGCCGCGGGACUUGAACUGGGACUGGGCUCGUCGGAUUGGAUGCCAGUGGCAAAUUCCGGAGCCGAGUAGAACGCCUUCACUGGAUACACCCGUAGAAGGCAUAUGACCACAGCAGUGGACGGGGGUUCAAUUCCCCCCAUCUCCACCC
Molecule: transfer-messenger RNA, 375 nt
Filed under: Microbacteriaceae
Lineage: Bacteria; Bacillati; Actinomycetota; Actinomycetes; Micrococcales
Also listed under: 1 other name
Description: Lacisediminihabitans sp014217685 Standard tmRNA
Rfam family: transfer-messenger RNA
About the family: Bacterial tmRNA, also known as 10Sa RNA or SsrA, is named for its dual tRNA and mRNA-like properties. Its role is to liberate the mRNA from a stalled ribosome.
Source: RNAcentral